RNAcentral lists this transfer RNA (67 nucleotides) under Limnonectes blythii (giant mountain frog). RNAcentral describes it as "tRNA-Cys". The record is from RNAcentral. Lineage: Eukaryota; Metazoa; Chordata; Amphibia; Anura; Dicroglossidae.
UUGUUCCUAACACACGUAAUGAUGUACAUCUAUAAACAAGACCACAUUUUUCUACAUCCUAAUUGUG